Long non-coding RNA from Priapulus caudatus, 298 nucleotides. RefSeq lists it as uncharacterized. The transcript is spliced from 2 exons. The record is from RefSeq and is a predicted model, not a curated record. NCBI's taxonomy places the organism in Eukaryota, Metazoa, Priapulida, Priapulimorpha, Priapulimorphida, Priapulidae.
GAGGAAAGGUGGCUAACAAGGAUCGAGCCGACGACCCACUCACGACGGAACGUUUAGAGCGAGCCUUGGAGCCUCUCGUUCUUAUGCAAUCCGACAACACACACAGGCUGCGCAUGCUCGAGCAUCGGCUCAGCAUGAUGGCGAACCAGCAGAGUGGGCAGGGCAACAUCCUCUGGCACCGCGACUGGUGGAUCGUCGUCGUCAUGCUCGCCUUUCAAGCCGUGCUGCACUGGCUCUUCAAGGGCUGAUGACGUCACCUCGAUCGACUCGGCGGGGCAGGAAGAGGGAGAGAGAGAAG